Long non-coding RNA from Macrobrachium nipponense, 1069 nucleotides. RefSeq lists it as uncharacterized. The record is from RefSeq and is a predicted model, not a curated record. The transcript has 4 exons. Lineage: Eukaryota; Metazoa; Arthropoda; Malacostraca; Decapoda; Palaemonidae.
GGGAAGUGAUCAGGUGAUGACAUUAAUCCGCCAACGAUCUCGACUACAACAGUAGCCUGACUGUCAACGCUACGGCCAUCAUGAAGGUUUCGAUGUUAACAAUCCUUAUCGGUCUAGUUUCUGCGAUAUCAGCUGCUCCUCAGUUUGGCUUCAACAACGAGCAGCCCACACCAUACAGCUUCGCCUAUGGCGUCAAUUCCCCUGAAACCGGCGACGUCAAAGAACACAAAGAAACUGUAUCACCUUCAGGCGUCACCGAAGGUGAAUACAGGUGGCUCCAGCCUAAUGGACUCUUCAGAGUGACUCGGUACACCGCUGACAAUGGAGGAUACCGCGCAGUUGUUAGUGAAGAGGCAGGAACACCAGUCGCCACAUACUACACCAACAGUCUCCAGGGCUCAGGGUCUUCACAGGGGUCAAUUACCACCAGUUUCCAGUCAAACAACCAGGGCUUCAGCAGCUUCCAGCCUGGCAAUCUAGUCAUCGCCAGGGCACAGAACUUCCAAAACCAGGCCUUCGCAAACUCGCCCAACUUCCAAAACCAAGAAUUUAGGGGCUUCCAGAUCCAAGGUUUCAGGACCCCACAAAACGUCUUCCAACGUGAUUCCAGCAACAUUCAGUCGUUCCAGAAUCAAGGUUUCUCUGGCUCGCAAGCUUUCCAGAACCAAAGGAACGUGAUUGACGGAGGUUUCCAGAAUCAAAGAAGCGUGAUUGACGGAGGAAUUAUUGACGGUGGAAUUAUUGAUGGAGGUAUCACUAGUACCACUACUAAUUCCUUUGGCUCUGGUUUCAACCGAUUCGGAUCUAAUCUAAACAACUUCAACACAAAUUUGAACAAUAAUUUUAGGCCUUCUUUCGGUAAUGUCAAUAGGUUUGGGAACUCAGGUUUUACCAAUGGCAACUUUAAUAACCGUGGUACGGCCGUAGUACUAUCAUCGAACCAAAAUAGAUUCUUUGUCUAAUUGCUUUCCAGUUUAGCACUGAAGAAUAACGCUGUUCCCGAUUUCUCAUGCAAACGAAUGUUUUCCUAUAUUUAUGGAGGUAUCUGAAUAAAUUAUACAGUCCACAA